RNAcentral lists this transfer RNA (73 nucleotides) under Microcaldota archaeon. RNAcentral describes it as "tRNA-Pro". It matches the Rfam family "tRNA". Rfam says of the family: Transfer RNA (tRNA) molecules are approximately 80 nucleotides in length. Their secondary structure includes four short double-helical elements and three loops (D, anti-codon, and T loops). The record is from RNAcentral. Lineage: Archaea; Nanobdellati; Microcaldota. RNAcentral also lists the same sequence under 1 other name.
GGGGGAAUGGGCUAACCUGGUAUGCUACUAGGUUUGGGACCUAGCGAUCUGAGUUCAAAUCUCAGUUCCCCCA